AUUGCCCUCGGGGGGCAGCAGUAGGGAAUCUUCGGCAAUGGGCGAAAGCCUGACCGAGCAACGCCGCGUGAAUGAAGAAGGCCUUCGGGUUGUAAAAUUCUGUUAUAAGGGAAGAAAGGUGAUAGGAGGAAAUGACUAUCAAUUGACGGUACCUUAUGAGAAAGCCACGGCUAACUACGUGCCAGCAGCCGCGGUAAUACGUAGGUGGCAAGCGUUAUCCGGAAUUAUUGGGCGUCAAGCGCGCGCAGGUGGUUAAUUAAGUCUGAUGUGAAAGCCCACGGCCUAACCGUGUAUGGUCUUUGGAA
This 305-nucleotide ribosomal RNA is filed under the name uncultured bacterium. RNAcentral's name for it is "bacterial SSU rRNA". It matches the Rfam family "Bacterial small subunit ribosomal RNA", at positions 334 to 631 of the family's 1533-position model. The record is from RNAcentral.